Molecule: ribosomal RNA, 251 nt
Filed under: uncultured Granulicatella sp.
Lineage: Bacteria; Bacillati; Bacillota; Bacilli; Lactobacillales; Carnobacteriaceae
Description: partial 16S ribosomal RNA
Rfam family: Bacterial small subunit ribosomal RNA
Source: RNAcentral
GUUGCGAACGGGUGAGUAACACGUGGGUAACCUGCCCAUCAGAGGGGGAUAACAUUCGGAAACGGAUGCUAAAACCGCAUAGGUCUUCGAACCGCAUGGUUUGAAGAGGAAAAGAGGCUUCGGCUUCGGCUGAUGGAUGGACCCGCGGUGCAUUAGCUAGUUGGUGAGGUAACGGCUCACCAAGGCCGUGAUGCAUAGCCGACCUGAGAGGGUGAUCGGCCACACUGGGACUGAGACACGGCCCAGACUCC